AUUUCCUAAAUACAAAUCUCAUGUGAAAUAGGAAAGAGAAUAAGACAUCCUAAGCAAUUUAGGAAACCUAAAAAUUAUGUCUUUCUCGUAUAACCAUCUGCAUGACCAUGCACCAGCCAAUGCAGAUUUCUGUCUUAAAAAUUCUAUCUAGAGAGAGACUCUAGGAUUGAUGUGCAUCGCCACCUACAUGAACAUGCAUCUGCCAGUAUAUGCCUUUUAUGCCUUCAUCAAAAACUUUCUAAACUCUCUCAAAAUCACCUAAAAUUCAUAAAAUAAACUAAAAUGAUUAAAUAAAUUAAAUUUAAAUGAAAAAAAUAAUGAAAAUUACUCAAAAAUAACAAGAAAUUAAAGCAAAAACAAUUCUGAUUGUGUAUAAAAUACACCAUUAUCAUUGGCCAAGUAAGGAUGAGACAUUUAAGGAGAAGAGUGCUAAAGUAAAGUCGCAUGACAUUGAAGGUAACUCUAGGAUACCUUCUAAUCCGAAACAUAGCACCAUCAAAUACUUUAGGUGUUUAGGUUCAAGACACAUUACUUAUAAUGCCGUAACUCAAGAAUCAUGUUGGUAAACGAUAAUGGUGAUAUUGAGAGUGGUAGUGAAGGUGACAGUGCCGAUAACAUGCCACCAUUGGAGGAUGUUGAGGAAGACGUUGAAUACCUAGUUUAGAGAGAAACUGUAGUUGUUUGAAAAAUACUGAAUGUUCAAGUCAACUAAGAAAGCAACCAAAGAGAGAAUAUAUUACAAACUUAUUGCCUUGUGAAUGGGAAGGUUAUAAUCUUAUUAUAGAUGAAGGGAGCUACACCAAUGUUGUCAAUACUACCUUGAUUGAUAAACUUGGACCUACACGAAAAAUUCUAAUCCUUAUAUAUUACAGUGGUUGAAUAAAUAUGGGGAGGUAAAGAUGACUAAGCAAGUACUGGUGUUUUUCUCUAUUGGGCAAUACAUUUAUGAAAUCCGUUGUGAUGUGCUCAUGUACGCCAGUCACAUCUUACUGGGAAGACUUUGUCAAUAUAACAAAUGUGUAGGCUAUAAGAAUUGUUAUUCUUUUAGUAUGAAUGACAAGAAUUUAAUUCCUGCACUGCUAUCAUCAAAGAAGGUACUCAAAGGUUAAUAGAAGAUCAAGAUUUCUCGAGUCAAAGUCAAGAGGAGGGGGAAAAAAGUGUUUGUUAACUAACCUUAAUCUUUUUUUAUCCAACAAUGUUGUUUUGCAGGACUUCAAGGGUAUUCCCAAUAAGGUAGGGUUGAUAAAGCUCUUACAUGAGAAAGUUCUUGAUUCAAUGACGAAUUCUUUCAAAAAAUGGGGAAAUGAUGUGAUCCUAAACAUGCAUGGAGAAGAGUCCCACCCAAGAGGGAUAUUCUCUCCCAUGAGAGUUUCUCUCAAGCCAAUCUCUCUUGGUGGAGUGCGGCAAUAUGAAUCCUAAAUUAGCUAAGAUUUGUCACAAGGGAGCUCUAAGAAGAUCACAACUCUUUAUUUUAGAGUUUUGAUUGGAUUUCUUCUUCGUCAAUUAAUACUUUAAAGAGUUAGAAUCAAAGGAAAGAGCAAAGGAAGAGGAGUCUUUAUUUUAGCUAAAAAUCUUCCUUGAUUUUCUCAUGGAGAAAAGUUUAUUUUCUACUUCAAGUUAGCAACUUUUUAAGCCAUCUUAAACACAACUUCUUCAUCAAAAAUUAAUUAAUUAUUGAAGUUCAAAUUCGAUUAGGGAGUAAGAAUUCGACCACAAUAAGGAAUCCUAUUCAAGAGAGAAGAAUUUUAUUUUCUUUAUGUUUAUGUUUCUUUAAUUUAAUUUUUUAAUUAGAAUUUUAGAUAAGAAUGUAUUUAGAAUUUUUCUAAAAUUUAGUUUUCGAUUUCUACUCAGACUAGUAAAGUUUGUCCUUAUAUAAAGAUUUUAUUCCUUUGGUUGUAAACACAUCAAGUCAAAUCAAUAAAAUAUAAAUCAUUGCUCAAUAGUUUUUAGAUAUUGUAAGUGCUGUUUGAGAGGGUUUUUUAACCAUCUUGUUGAGUGGAGAAUUGGUUCUACUUAUUGAAGUAAUCUCUAAUGUUUUAUCUAUUCUUAUUACUUAUCCCAAUUGUCUUAGUUCUCAAUCAUGGAUUGAUUGUGGGUUAAGUAAGAAGAAUUCGUUUAGGAAUUAAGUUUGUGUUAACUUAUAUGUUUGAGUUUUUGAUCUCAUUGAUUGAUUUUGGAUUCCGCAUCAGUAGUCUAUCUAAUAACUAAGUUAAGGUAUUUUAUUUGUAGGUACUAAAAUACAACAAAAUUGCAAAUAUGGAAAACUUAUAAAAUAGGAAAAUAAAUUAAAUAGAAAUAAAUUAAAAAGUAUUUCUUUUUCCUUCUAUUGUAAAUAAAGAAAACCUAAAAUAGGAAAAUAAGUUAAGUAAAAGGAAUUAGAAAAAUAUAAAAUCUUCCUAUUUUCUUUUAUUGUACAACUUUUGGAAACUUUAUUUUUACUAUUGAAGGACAUUAAAAUUUCCUAUUCUUUGUAGUGUAAAAGAGCAACUUAAAAUUUCUUAUUCCGUUUAUGUAAAAGUUUCCAAAAUGAUUGUUCUCCUUUGUUGGUUCUGCAUCAAUACCUUAAUACUCAGAGGAUUAAACUUUCAAAGUACAAAUAUUAUUUGAAUCCAAAUUCAAAAUAAAGUUAAUAGAUUUUAAAUCAUUAAAUUAGAGUACCUACAUUUUGUAAAAUCUUGAGGACUAAGAUAUUUUGGCGCGAGCAAGGGGAAGGGAGGGGGCAACUCACACUAAGAUCCCAUGAAGAUGAUUACAAGCAAAUGGCUAAAAGAGUCCUACCAAUCAUUGACUCUCAAGUAUUUCACAUGAGUGAGUCAUUUAUUCUUGUUGAGAGAGUCAUAAUUGAUCACUCAUCUCUUUUAAAGCACGUUAAUCAUAUGAAUAAUAAGAGUCUUAAAGAUUUAAGAUACUUGAUUAUUCAUUUUUCCACAAUUGAACACAAUUCUUCUCAUGAAUGGUUUUCAACUUCAAGUAAAUCUCAUAAGGAUUCAAGGAUCCUUGUUCUACCAAGUAAUGUCAGGUUUCAAGAGAUUUACAUCAUGAAAAAUGAGUCUUCAUCAAUGUAGAGUUCUCGUCAAAACAAGAGAAGAAGAAUCUUAUUAUUACAAGUCGUGGCUGGGAUUGCACUCUUCUUCAUCUCAUGGUAGAAAAUCCUAGAUUUUCUCGUACAUAUUCUAUUAGCUUUUUCUUAGAUUUUCUCCUAUAUUUCUUUUUGGACUUUUUCUUAGAUCUUCUAUUGGAUUUUUUUUAGAUUUUCUCUUAAAUUUUCUUUUAGAUUUUUUUUCGAAUUUUUCUUCCAAUAUUUUAAUAAAAUAUUUUUAAUUAAAUAUAAAUUUCUAAUUAAAUUAAAUUAAAAUUUUUAAAUAAUAAUUGUAACAUCUAUAUAAAUGAAUAUGUUUGUUAUUAAUAAAGUUAAGUUAGAAUAUUAUUUUAAAUUAUAGGAUUAGAUCUCUCUCUAACAAGGUUCAAGGUAAUAGCUCCCUUUAAUGAGUUGUAUUUUACUUUUACAAAAUAAGUUGCUAAAGAAAUCGCAGUAAGGAAAAUAACAUAUUCUGCAACCGGAAAUUCUAGAGAACUGCCUAAUGACAAGAUCCUAUUUUCAGGAACAUAACAAAUUGUUAUUGAGUCUAACACAAUGGAUGAUUUUGCAAUAAAAGAAGAUAUGCGAUUGAUCCUUCAGAAAGUUUUGUCUGCAAACGAAGCACGGACCACAAAGAUUGAAAGAUGAUUCGUCAGUUAGUUGUAAGAGUUAUCCUCGCAAUUCAAAGAGAUAAUGACUAACUUUAAUUGUGACAAAUGAACAGAAUCAGAAAGAACUGUACGCAGCAACUGCCACGGGGAACAGCCACCUGAAGCACUUCACAUCAUAAGUCAAUCGUGGGAUGCAAAUAACCUCUAGGUAAUGGAAUCGUUCUCUACUACACUAAGUUAGACUUUCUAAUGUCCGAUGGUUCUAAAAAUCUUCUAAUAUGGUUGCAUCAGUGUGAGAAAUUUACCAAUCAAAACAUGUCGAAAUGCUUGCAUUGGUGUGAGAAAUUUUUUAUCAACCAAUACACGCCAGAAAGAGAUAAGGUGGUAUUAACGGCCUUUCAUUUGCUUGGAGAGGCACAGUUAUGGUACCACUAGUUAAAAUCUGAACAACCUAUGCUCAAGUAGACUAAAUUCAAAGGCUAUUAUUCUCUGAGGUUUAGGUCACCAAUAGGAAGUAAUCCAUUAGGGGAAUUGGUAAACUUGAAAUUGACGGAAUCAGUUGCAAACUAUCAGAGGUAGUUCCAAGAAAAACUGAGAAGAGUAAACAAGUUCGUUCAGGUUGAUUAACAUGUAGGUUUGUUUACAACAUGAUUGAUUGAUUCUCUUGGUAUAAAGGUCGAGAUGCAAUUACCUACCAUUAUUAUGCACACAAUGAAAUUAGUUAAGGGUUUUUGAAAGGAAACUACAGUUGUAAGUUAUGACUGAAUACAAUUAUAGUGACUUCUCUUAGUUCGUACCCAAAUCUAACAAUUCAGUUCAGAAAAUACCAACUCCACAGGGCAUCAACGUGACGACACAAUCUAAUAAUGCUUCCUCUCCAUUUAUAAAAAAACUAACAAGCGCAGAGAUGACAGAAAAGAGGCUGAAAGGGUUGUUGUAUUAUAAUUGCGAUGAACCGUUUGUUCAGGAUCAACAAUGUAAAUAGUUGUUAUGCUGUGAAAUUGAACGCGACAUUGAUUUUGAGAAUAAGAAAAGACCGACAAGGCAAAUUAUCCGCAUUUCAAGCUUGAGGACAAGCUUAAAGAUCGGGGGGAGUAAUAUUAUGGACGCAUUUAUAGCGUCUAAAUAAGAUGUUGAAGUUCAAUUAAAUACGGAAUCCUAAUUGGUAUUAGAUUUCUAUUAAUAAACAUAGAAUUCUAAUUAGUAUUAAAUUUCUAAAUGACAUGAUUUCCCAUUGAUAUUGGAUUCUUAAAUAGUAUAGGAUUUUCAAUAUUUUAAUGGAGUAUUUUAAUUAGAUUUAGAUUUGUAAUUAAAUUAAAAUUGUUAAAUAAGAAUUAUAAUAUUUAUACAAAGGGGUAUGUUUGCUAUUAGUUAAGACAAGUCAUUAUAUUAUUUUAAAACUAUGAGAUUGGAGCUCUCUUUAACAAGAUCUAUAGUAGUAACUCUCUUUAAUGAGAUUUAAUCUAUUUUAACAAAACAAGUUGUUUAAGGAAUUGCAGUAAGGAAAAGAAGCAGAUUCUGAAACAGAAAUUUCAAAGAACUGUCUAAUGAUAAGAUCCUGAUUUCAAAACAUAACAUAUACUUAUAUAGGUUUGACAUCAGAAAGUUGGCUGGAAAAGUUAGAAAAACAAUUCUAAACCUAAUGCCAUAAAACUGAUCUUUUAUCUUUAUUUUUGUGGCCACCAUAUUAAAAUAUUAUGAUAAUGAGUUCUAAAUUAGUUUUGGAAAUUUAUCUUCAUUGUUGCAGGCCUAUAUGUAAUACCAUAGGAAACCUUAAUUUUUUUAUUUAUUAUAAAAUAACACCCUUAAUAAAUAUAGACUUGGUACCUAUGAAUAACUAUAAUAGUAAUGAUUUUCUUUUUGGGAACCAGGUAUCUCAAGCUCAAAUAUCCUAACUCUACCCUUGAAGGAAAGGUAAGAUGGAGAAUCUGAUAUAACAAAGACAUGUAAACAGGCGGGAAAAUAAAAAUGGAUUUGUGUAAUUCAGUUAGAAACUGUAAAGUCAGUUGAGAUGUUGGGUAUAAUAUCUCUAACUGUAGCUGUGUCUCAAUAAGAAUUCUUCUCUCAUUCUCUCUCAAUAUGAUGUUUUCUUUGUAAUGCCCAGAACUUGUCCGUGUUAGCUCUAGUCCAUGCCUCAUUUCAGGGAACCUGAACUGGCUCUACUUCAUGAUAAUUAUAUUUUAUCAAUACCUAAUUCCAUCCAUUAUUUCUCUGUUAUCCAUCUUUUUUGCUCUGUGAGAGUCCCCACUCAUAUCAGUUAGUUCUAAUACUGUUUUUUCUGUCAGAAGUGCCAGGUAAUGGUCUUAUAGGCUUGUAGCUCUUUAAUUUCAUGUCCUUUGACAACUUGAGGUAAUUACAUUUUGGUCUCCUCAUGCAACCAUUACAAACUCCUAGAGAAUUACAGCCAGAUAUGUACCCUCACUUCAUGGAAAGAGAAAAAUCAAAGACUUUCAUCUCCAAGUCAAUUUUGGGAUUAAUAUAUGAUAAAGCAACACAAUAUCAGAUGGAGGAUCCAUCAAACAAAGGUAUAGCAGAAAUGUGCAUGUUAUGGCAACUAAAGAAUAGUGAAACAAUUUAUUUUGAGUUUCAUAAUUUUGUUUAGGAACCACAAGGCAAAUCACAUUUUUAUUUGCGUUCUUCUUAAUUAGAUAUAUGAUCCUGCUAUACUCUUGAACUAACUUAAAUGUCUAUUUUUUCACUAGGAACUGUAUGGAGCUGCAGAAUUUGAACAGAGAAUGCGGUGUCUGGAGGAGAUUUAUAAUGAGGCCUUGGCAAUAUACCACUCAGCAUAUGUCAGGCAAAAAAAGAAAGAAAUGUGGGAAGAUGCAGUUUUGCAUGGAACGUGGCAGGUGCAGCCCUGUGCAACCUCGAUGCAUGAAAACAGGGUGAGAGGCCCUUGUUGUGUUUACCUUGGGUUUUGAAGGAGGGUUUUGGUUGAAUAAACUCCAAAUCUAGUGUAUGAUGUAUUAUACUUCAACAUUGAAGCCAUGUGGUGCAUGUUGGCAUGUUGAUAUCAACUAUAUAAACCUUGUUGUAUGGUAACGUGUAAAUAUAUUAACAUAUAUAUAAUUUAACGAUUGGAGCACUUAUUUCUUGAUGAACGUCAUAGUUAGCACUAUGGCUGAUUUCUAGAGGGGCCUAUUAAUAGGCUAGUGGGCUAAUAUUUAUUUUGUUGAAUAGGAUCCAAGUGGCUUGAACUUCUUUUUAGAAACCCUCUUUUCUUUUAUUUUGUAUUAUCACAUGCAAUGAUAAAUUUUUUUCAAAAAAAAAAUAAAAAGGAAUUAGUAGUGUUUACACGUAGUUGAUUGACGGGUUCUAUGCUAACGUGGAGGUGACGAUGAUUGCUUGGAUGGAUAUUCUAGAGGUGUGAAGAAUGAUUCUCAAAUGUCAUGUCGCAUUCCUGUACUGUACUUGUCGGACUGGACAUUUUCCUUUUUUUUUUUUUUUUAUUGGGAAUUGUAUUGUAACUUUAUUUCUUGAUAGAGAUGGAAAGGAAUUGGCAAUUUGCUAAAACCGUGUGGAGACUGUUGUAGAUUUUAAUUGAAAUCAAACUGGAUUGGGAUAAGUCGUAACAAAAUUUUUGAAUCUGUCAUGAAACGAAUUUGGAUUUAUAUAGUAAAAACUCACUUGAAUCUCGACUUCUUAAUUGUUUAUUAAUUAAAAAAAAAAAAAAAAAAAAGAUACGUUAAAACACACAUUCUACCUCUCUUUGACAAAGAUGUCUCCUUCAUCUUCUUCUAUCUUCGUCGUUGUACUCCAACUGUCCAAUGAUGAUUAGAGGCUUCCCAAUUGCAAGCUAUCACCUCUUUCGUGGCUUUACACUCUAACAUCACUUAACAGUAAACUUGCACGUUUAUGAACUCACUCUGUGAUGCGAUCAUACCUGAGGAAAAACAUGGUAACAAGCAGGAGACCUAUGUGACAACAGAAGGGCAAAAACCAACAUACAAUAUUGUUCUUUCAGGACACAUUAUGAAGUAUGCUCGAACGGAAAAUGAUUAUGAAGAAUCUACCCAGAACUAGGACCACAAAAAGAGUAAAACAGGACUUAUGAAGGAAUUAAGCCGAUAAGGGCAACGAUCUAGAAGAAGAAGAAAUAAGAGGCGACUCGAGACGAGAAAGUUAUUGGGUCUCAUAGCCAAGGAGAAGCUCGGCCCAAGGAUUCUGCCCCAAGAGAAAGGCCUAAACACAAUUUGGGUAUGAGUACCCAUCAGAUACACGUGUGGGUGUACACAAGUGCGGGCAAUAUAACCCACACAUGCGGGAAGAUCACUCAUGCAAGAGAGCUCGCGGAACAUGCGAGAGAGUCGUGCCCCCGCACAGUAAAAGCGUAUGCGCGCACAUAAGCUAGAUGCAUGCUGGUGGAGGCGCAUGUGCAAGGAGGCCAGUCGCACGCCCAAGGAGCGCGCUCGGUGAGCCAGCCCUGCGCUAGGACACAAAUGUGCAAGUGGUCCUUACCGCACGCGCGCCAGGUCCACACACACGCACGAACCUUCUACAUGCACCCAACGCCGACCCCCUGCAGGUGCAUGCGCCAGACAGCGCGGACAACCUGUACGCAGGCCAUGAGUCCUAUUUGGACUCUUUCUUCCUUUCUUUUUUGCCAUCCAACUCGAACACAGCAUACCCUUGGAAUUCUACACCAAAUUGGAUACAAAGAUAAGCUUAAAACACCAAGGAAGAUCAGCCAAUGAAGAAGAAUUGUACUUAAAUUAAGUUAGUUUUAUUUUAUUAUUUUAUUUGAAUUUUUAAAUUAUAAUUUUUUAUUUAAUUAAUUUUCAGCAGGG
Molecule: long non-coding RNA, 8477 nt
Filed under: Carica papaya (papaya)
Lineage: Eukaryota; Viridiplantae; Streptophyta; Magnoliopsida; Brassicales; Caricaceae
Description: long non-coding RNA (CPAP_LNC009407)
Source: RNAcentral